Molecule: ribosomal RNA, 799 nt
Filed under: uncultured Ralstonia sp.
Lineage: Bacteria; Pseudomonadati; Pseudomonadota; Betaproteobacteria; Burkholderiales; Burkholderiaceae
Description: bacterial SSU rRNA
Rfam family: Bacterial small subunit ribosomal RNA
Source: RNAcentral
AGAGUUUGAUCAUGGCUCAGAUUGAACGCUGGCGGCAUGCCUUACACAUGCAAGUCGAACGGCAGCAUGAUCUAGCUUGCUAGAUUGAUGGCGAGUGGCGAACGGGUGAGUAAUACAUCGGAACGUGCCCUGUAGUGGGGGAUAACUAGUCGAAAGAUUAGCUAAUACCGCAUACGACCUGAGGGUGAAAGUGGGGGACCGCAAGGCCUCAUGCUAUAGGAGCGGCCGAUGUCUGAUUAGCUAGUUGGUGAGGUAAAGGCUCACCAAGGCGACGAUCAGUAGCUGGUCUGAGAGGACGAUCAGCCACACUGGGACUGAGACACGGCCCAGACUCCUACGGGAGGCAGCAGUGGGGAAUUUUGGACAAUGGGGGCAACCCUGAUCCAGCAAUGCCGCGUGUGUGAAGAAGGCCUUCGGGUUGUAAAGCACUUUUGUCCGGAAAGAAAUCGCACUUACUAAUAUUAGGUGUGGAUGACGGUACCGGAAGAAUAAGGACCGGCUAACUACGUGCCAGCAGCCGCGGUAAUACGUAGGGUCCAAGCGUUAAUCGGAAUUACUGGGCGUAAAGCGUGCGCAGGCGGUUGUGCAAGACCGAUGUGAAAUCCCCGGGCUUAACCUGGGAAUUGCAUUGGUGACUGCACGGCUAGAGUGUGUCAGAGGGGGGUAGAAUUCCACGUGUAGCAGUGAAAUGCGUAGAGAUGUGGAGGAAUACCGAUGGCGAAGGCAGCCCCCUGGGAUAACACUGACGCUCAUGCACGAAAGCGUGGGGAGCAAACAGGAUUAGAUACCCCAGUAGUCC